UAGCUAACGUUAAUUCGUUUGGAUUGGGUUAGCUAACCGUAUACUAUAGCCAAAUUGACAGUUCGGUCUGUUGCGUUCAUCUUUCUUGUGGGUAAAAUAAUCAGUGAUAAUGUAGAACGAAUCAUUUCAGUAUUCAGUAUUAACAACGUGCAGAAAUCCGAAUGUGUGUUUCUUUGGAUAACGCUAUUAGUGGCAAAGUGGUCGUAGGCUUCACCGGACAAAUACAUUUCUUCUAGGCAGGGAGCGAGAGUUCAGCUAUUUCGAAUACAUCUUUAGUUUGUCAGCAGGCACGGACUGACAUUUUGUCUUAGGAUGUAUACUUUUUGGGUAAUUCUGUAGUUGGAAUGAGGGGAACGGAAGCUCUCAGAUGAAAGGUGCUUGCUAACGUUAGCUACAGCUCAGAGAUGGCGAACUCCAUUGGAAACCUUUCUCUAAAUGGCUCUGGUUAACGUUAACUCUAUUCAGUCUGGAGAUUGUGUGGUUAGCUUGCUAGCAGCCAUUGUCCAGAGAGAUGGUCGUGGCAUUUUCCCGUUUUAGGCAUGGAGGGUCUUCAAGAUGCAAUUCAACACCAAUUGCCCGAGUUGGAGACCGAGAUGGGGAGAUCUUUGUCGGAGCAUCUGAGGGCAAAUUUUGGAGUGGAGAAUAUUAACAACCUUGAAUAUGUUCAGCCAGAGGACAUAAAAUACUGUUUGAUGCCAAUAUAGUGCCUGGAAUUGCUUCAGUCCUUCAACCAAAGAGAAAAUGAAGAAUGGAUAGGAUCUGUAACAAUGGAUAGUACACUUGUCCUCCUCCAAGCAUCGGUGACCUCCAAGAACAGUGGCCUUUGCUUUUCACCAAGUUAUGACUAUGCGACCACUUCAAUACCCUCACUGGCAUUGUGAUUGACAGUCGCCUGACUCAAGCUCUCCUGAACAAGGGUCACUGCAACUUGGGUUGAUGUCGAGGCGCAAAUUCCUUUGCCAGACACACCAAGGCUGAUCAUGCUUGGAAAUACUCUAUUGGGUUCCUCAAAAUGGAUGGUGUCGAUCGAGGGAAGUGUGGUCUGUGUUAUGGACAGUGAGUCCAACUUUGUUGCUGCCCUCUUCAGCACUUUCUAUGAAUUUAACAUAGAAUACCAGGAGUCAGCGUCUGCAACCUUGGAGCUGAUACAGAGGAACCAAAUGCACUGCGAAAGCAGGAGUGAGCCGCAAAACCGGAAAGGUCGUUCAGAGGAAGCCAUUGCCAAUUGACCCACAUGUUAAGUGCUUUCUCGCAGACCUGAAGGAGUUUGAGUGGAAAAACUCCAACAUUAAAUCCUGCCAUGCGGUUUGGGUCAGCAAAUGAUCUGCUUGAGCCAUCCUGGAGCCUGUGUUGGCUUGCAGUAGUGUGCUUCUCUGGCUCCAGUCAAGCCCUGCUUGCUCGUCUCUAUCAUCAUUCUCUCUCAGCCCCUUUCUCUCUCGAUCUCGCUCUCUCUCUCUCUCUCUCUCACACAGGCAAGCAGUUCUUGUUUUAGUUUUUUGUGAAAAUGUCUCCCUUUUAAACUGUUUUCCUAUUUUUCAUUGAUCUGUUUAGAUUAUUAUUCUCCUUUUUUUAAAUUUUUUUUUUUACAUAAUCCUGUAUUUUCAAGAAUGACCUAUUCUAAUGUCUUGGUUUGUGUAUGGUGAAGUACAUUAUUGGCCAGUAUUUGUCAAUGUUCUUAUCACUGUAUCUCUGUCUCUUUCUCUCCCCUACUAUCUGGAGUUGUAAUGUUGCUCUUUUCAAAUGUUGUUCUUUGUGGUUAAAGUGCAAUUCAUGUUAUGAAUUUGAAUAAAUAUAUAUUUGUA
Molecule: non-coding RNA, 1802 nt
Organism: Oncorhynchus mykiss (rainbow trout)
Lineage: Eukaryota; Metazoa; Chordata; Actinopteri; Salmoniformes; Salmonidae
Source: RefSeq, a predicted model, not a curated record